GGGCCCAUAGCUUAGGUCGGUGGAGCGUCCGACUGAUAAUCGGAAGGUCAUGCGUUCAAAUCGCAUUGGGCCCA
This 74-nucleotide transfer RNA is filed under the name Methanomethylophilus alvi. RNAcentral's name for it is "Candidatus Methanomethylophilus alvus tRNA-Ile". It matches the Rfam family "tRNA". From Rfam's summary of the family: Transfer RNA (tRNA) molecules are approximately 80 nucleotides in length. Their secondary structure includes four short double-helical elements and three loops (D, anti-codon, and T loops). RNAcentral also lists the same sequence under 3 other names. The record is from RNAcentral. Lineage: Archaea; Methanobacteriati; Thermoplasmatota; Thermoplasmata; Methanomassiliicoccales; Methanomethylophilaceae.